CCUGCAAAGAGAUAAAGCCAGUGACAAAGCUAGCAACCUUGUCAUGAUGUCAUGAUGUGCAUAGUUUAUCUGGCGAGGACGCUAGGUAGAUGUGUGUAUAUCUUUAACAAAUCGGGAUCGGAGCUGUUUCUCUUUGAAAGGCAAAUCCGGACCUGUUGCAUACUUGCAUAUGUGCACCUCCGGUUGCGAGCUCAAAAAGAUGGACAAGACCAGCUGCUGUUGCUACUGUCAUUUUAGCUUGGCACUUUUUUUUUUAAAGAGACGAUCCAUGGCACUUUAAAAUUUUUUUUAGCUUAGCACUUAUCAACACUUCGUAUUUUAUUGUGAUCAGAUAUUUUUUCAGUCCAACACAUACGAUGGAAAGAAGAUCCAUAGCACUCGUCAUCAUCCGCAACAUGUGGAUGUUUUUUUUUCUUUUUUCCCAAGUAUCCCAGUUUUCAGUUGCGGUUUCAACUCUUCUUGUGAAGUAAGCAAGCAUGCAUCAGAGAUAUCUCAAGAGAAUCUAUGAUAAUGAUGAGUGUCGACGAAAGCUAGUCGGCAGUCUACCUUGGGGUAUACCCACGGUAGUAGUUUAUCGGUAGACGGUGCGCAAACUACGAACUCGAUGGUGACGCAAGACACGGACAAGCUUUUUAUCCAGGUUCGGCCGCCGAGUUGGCGUAAUACCUACGUCCUGCGUCUGGUUGUAUUGAUUUGUGCCGAGAGAAUAUGAUGUGAUAGGGGGUCCCUUGCCCCUCCUUAUAUAGUCUGGAGGGCAGGGUUACAGAUCUAGAAACUAAUCCUAGUCGGUUACAAUUGCCAUAGAUAAUUCGAUAUCAAUUCCUAUUCUAACCGACUAGAAUCCUGCUUGAUCUCCACGUCUUGUUUCCUUGCGCGAAACUCGGGCUGUCGGAUCAAGCCUUGAACUCGUCUCGUAGUGGGCCA
This 924-nucleotide long non-coding RNA is filed under the name Sorghum bicolor (sorghum). Its description in RNAcentral is "long non-coding RNA (SBIC_LNC005749)". Lineage: Eukaryota; Viridiplantae; Streptophyta; Magnoliopsida; Poales; Poaceae. The record is from RNAcentral.